This 790-nucleotide ribosomal RNA is filed under the name uncultured archaeon. RNAcentral's name for it is "bacterial SSU rRNA". It matches the Rfam family "Archaeal small subunit ribosomal RNA", at positions 85 to 878 of the family's 1478-position model. The record is from RNAcentral.
ACGGCUCAGUAACACGUAGUCAACAUGCCCAGGGGACGUGGAUAACCUCGGGAAACUGAGGAUAAACCGCGAUAGGCCAAGAUUUCUGGAAUGAAUCAUGGUUUAAAUCUAUAUGGCCCCUGGAUUGGACUGCGGCCGAUCAGGCUGUUGGUGAGGUAAUGGCCCACCAAACCUGUAACCGGUACGGGCUCUGAGAGGAGGAGCCCGGAGAUGGGCACUUAGACAAGGGCCCAGGCCCUAUGGGGCGCAGCAGGCGCGAAACCUCUGCAAUAAGCGAAAGCUUGACAGGGUUACUCUGAGUGAUUUCCGCUAAGGAAGUCUUUUGGCACCUCUAAAAAUGGUGCAGAAUAAGGGGUGGGCAAGUCUGGUGUCAGCCGCCGCGGUAAUACCAGCACCCCGAGUGGUCGGGACGAUUAUUGGGCCUAAAGCAUCCGUAGCCGGUCCUGCAAGUCCUCCGUUAAAUCCACCCGCUCAACGGUUGGGCCGCGGGGGAUACUACAGGGCUAGGAGGCGGGAGAGGCAAGCGGUACUCGAUGGGUAGGGGUAAAAUCCUCUGAUCCAUUGAAGACCACCAGUGGCGAAGGCGGCUUGCCAGAACGCGCUCGACGGUGAGGGAUGAAAGCUGGGGGAGCAAACCGGAUUAGAUACCCGGGUAGUCCCAGCUGUAAACGAUGCAGACUCGGUGAUGGGCCGGCUUCAUGCCGGCUCAGUGCCGCAGGGAAGCCGUUAAGUCUGCCGCCUGGGGAGUACGGUCGCAAGACUGAAACUUAAAGGAAUUGGCGGGGGAGCA